This is a non-coding RNA of Acanthosepion pharaonis, 101 nucleotides long. The record is from the annotation of a GenBank genome assembly. NCBI's taxonomy places the organism in Eukaryota, Metazoa, Mollusca, Cephalopoda, Sepiida, Sepiidae.
ACAUUGAAAUACUAGUUCUCGUACGAUCACUGAAGUUAAGCAACACCAAGUCUGGUCAGUACCUAAAUGGGUGACCGCUUGGGUAUACAAGGUGCUGUAAG